AGAGUUUGAUCAUGGCUCAGGAUGAACGCUGGCGGCGUGCAUAACACAUUCAAGUCGAACGGAAGCAGAAAUGCUUUAGUGGCGGACGGGUGAGUAACGCGUGAGCAACCUGCCCUUGUGUGGGGAAUAACGUCGGGAAACUGACGCUAAUACCGCAUAAACACACAGUACCGCAUGGUGCAAUGUGCAAAGAUUUAUUGCGCAAGGAUGGGCUCGCGUCCGAUUAGUUAGAUGGCAGGGUAACGGCCUACCAUGACAGCGAUCGGUAGCCGGACUGAGAGGUUGAACGGCCACAUUGGAACUGAGAUACGGUCCAGACUCCUACGGGAGGCAGCAGUGGGGAAUAUUGGGCAAUGGGCGAAAGCCUGACCCAGCGACGCCGCGUGAAGGAAGAAGGUCCUCGGAUUGUAAACUUUAGUACUCAGGGACGAGCAAAGACGGUACCUGAGGUUAAGCCACGGCUAACUACGUGCCAGCAGCCGCGGUAAUACGUAGGUGGCAAGCGUUAUCCGGAAUUACUGGGUGUAAAGGGUGUGUAGGCGGGGAUGCAAGUCAGAUGUGAAAAUUAUGGGCUCAACCCAUAACCUGCAUUUGAAACUGUAUUUCUUGAGAGUCGGAGAGGUAAACGGAAUUCCCAGUGUAGCGGUGAAAUGCGUAGAUAUUGGGAGGAACACCAGUGGCGAAGGCGGUUUACUGGACGACAACUGACGCUGAGACACGAAAGCGUGGGGAGCAAACAGGAUUAGAUACCCUGGUAGUCCACGCUGUAAACGAUGAACACUAGGUGUAGGGGAGCAAUCCUCUGUGCCGCAGUUAACACAAUAAGUGUUCCACCUGGGGAGUACGGCCGCAAGGUUGAAACUCAAAGGAAUUGACGGGAGCCCGCACAAGCAGUGGAGUAUGUGGUUUAAUUCGACGCAACGCGAAGAACCUUACCAGGACUUGACAUCCCCUGACCAUCUCGUAAUGGAGAGUCUUUGACCUUCGGGUCGAACAGGGAGACAGGUGGUGCAUGGUUGUCGUCAGCUCGUGUCGUGAGAUGUUGGGUUAAGUCCCGCAACGAGCGCAACCCUUAUGAUUAGUUGCUACGAAAGAGCACUCUGGUCAGACUGCCGUUGACAAAACGGAGGAAGGUGGGGACGACGUCAAAUCAUCAUGCCCCUUACGUUCUGGGCUACACACGUACUACAAUGGCGCAAACAAAGGGGAGCGAAGCCGCGAGGCGGAGCAAAUCUCAAAAAAGGCGCCCCAGUUCGGACUGCAGGCUGCAACUCGCCUGCACGAAGUUGGAAUUGCUGGUGAUCGUAGGUCAGCAUACUGCGGUGAAUACGUUCCCGGGCUUUGUACACACCGCCCGUCAAACCAUGGGAGCUGGGGACACCCGAAGCCAGUGAGCUAACCGCAAGGAGGCAGCUGUCGAAGGUGGAUUCAGUGACUGGGGUUAAGUCGUAACAAGGUAGCC
Molecule: ribosomal RNA, 1462 nt
Filed under: uncultured rumen bacterium
Lineage: Bacteria
Description: bacterial SSU rRNA
Rfam family: Bacterial small subunit ribosomal RNA
Source: RNAcentral